Molecule: long non-coding RNA, 575 nt
Organism: Nasonia vitripennis (jewel wasp)
Lineage: Eukaryota; Metazoa; Arthropoda; Insecta; Hymenoptera; Pteromalidae
Exons: 4
Source: RefSeq, a predicted model, not a curated record
GAGAGGACGGUGAGGUGUACAGAUUAAGGGAAAGGCGCGCGCGCGCACACACGCUGUUUCCGCGAUUCGCGUCAAACUGAACUGUGGACUCUGUGACGCCGGUGGUGUGCGACUUGCGAGAGAAGAGAAUAGUGUGUCAGUCGCUCAUACUCCGGGCCGGAGGGGGUGUUUGGAAGCAUGCCCGUAUACACGCAGGUAUUGUCGAGGGCAUGUAACGAGCGAGAACAGAUUAUAGAGGGGACUGGGAAAGCGGAAAAUAUAGUUUUACGUCGCAUUUGUAGGAGUCCAUAAAAUCACUACAUCGAAGUACUCGAGAGAAUUAAUUGCUGCGAAUAUAUUGUGGAGACAGGAGGAUCGUCCUUUCGACAAAUAAUAAAAGUCAAGUUCAAAUUCAUCAACAGCACAUCACAGUUUUAAUGCACCAAAUAACAUCAAAGCACCGCCUGGACGUCGACGACUCUCGCGCGAUGAGCAAUAAACAUUUACCCCCACCGUCGCGGGAGCCGCAGCAUACAUCGCGUCAGUAAGUAUAACUUCGGCGGCUCGUCGUCCCCCAUCAUCGUCAGGCUCCGCCG